CAGCCGCCGCGGUAAUACGGAGGGAGCUAGCGUCGUUCGGAAUUACUGGGCGUAAAGCGCGCGUAGGCGGUUACUCAAGUCAGAGGUGAAAGCCCGGGGCUCAACCCCGGAACUGCCUUUGAAACUAGGUGACUAGAAUCUUGGAGAGGUCAGUGGAAUUCCGAGUGUAGAGGUGAAAUUCGUAGAUAUUCGGAAGAACACCAGUGGCGAAGGCGACUGACUGGACAAGUAUUGACGCUGAGGUGCGAAAGCGUGGGGAGCAAACAGGAUUAGAUACCCGGGUAGUCCCUGUCUCUUAUAA
RNAcentral lists this ribosomal RNA (301 nucleotides) under uncultured bacterium. Its description in RNAcentral is "partial 16S ribosomal RNA". It matches the Rfam family "Bacterial small subunit ribosomal RNA", at positions 509 to 809 of the family's 1533-position model. The record is from RNAcentral.